This 446-nucleotide ribosomal RNA is filed under the name uncultured bacterium. RNAcentral describes it as "partial 16S ribosomal RNA". It matches the Rfam family "Bacterial small subunit ribosomal RNA", at positions 338 to 795 of the family's 1533-position model. The record is from RNAcentral.
CCUACGGGUGGCAGCAGUCGAGAAUCAUUCACAAUGGGGGCAACCCUGAUGGUGCGACGCCGCGUGGGGGAAUGAAGGUCUUCGGAUUGUAAACCCCUGUCAUGUGGGAGCAAAUUAAAAAGAUCGUGCCACAAUAGGCAGGGACGGCUAACUCUGUGCCAGCAGCCUCGUUAAUACGGAGGUCUCAAGCGUUGUUCGGAAUCACUGGGAGUAAGGCGUGCGUAGGCUGUUUCGUAAGUCGUGUGUGAAAGGCGCGGGCUCAACCCGCGGACGGCACAUGAUACUGCGAGACUAGAGUAAUGGAGGGGGAACCGGAAUUCUCGGUGUAGCAGUGAAAUGCGUAGAUAUCGAGAGGAACACUCGUGGCGAAGGCGGGUUCCUGGACAUUAACUGACGCUGAGGCACGAAGGCCAGGGGAGCGAAAGGGAUUAGAUACCCCAGUAGUC